GCCUACGGGGGGCAGCAGUCGGGAAUAUUGCGCAAUGGAGGAAACUCUGACGCAGUGACGCCGCGUGCAGGAAGAAGGUUUUCGGAUUGUAAACUGCUUUAGACAGGGAAGAAAAAAGACAGUACCUGUAGAAUAAGCUCCGGCUAACUACGUGCCAGCAGCCGCGGUAAUACGUAGGGUGCGAGCGUUAAUCGGAAUUACUGGGCGUAAAGGGUGUGCAGGCGGCUGAGUAAGACAGAUGUGAAAUCCCCGGGCUUAACCUGGGAACCGCAUAUGUGACUGCUUGGCUAGAGUGCGUCAGAGGG
RNAcentral lists this ribosomal RNA (305 nucleotides) under uncultured bacterium. Its description in RNAcentral is "bacterial SSU rRNA". It matches the Rfam family "Bacterial small subunit ribosomal RNA", at positions 337 to 658 of the family's 1533-position model. The record is from RNAcentral.